GACGAACGCUGGCGGCGUGCUUAAUACAUGCAAGUCAACUGAACUUGAGGUAGCAAUAUCACAAGAGAGGUGGCGCACGGGUGAGUAACACGUAGGUAAUCUGCCUUUAGGUCUGACAUAAUUCCGCGAAAGCGGGACUAGUAUCAGAUGAUGCAGCGGCUCGACAUCGAGACAGUUGUUAAACCUUCGGGGCCUAAAGAUGAGCCUGCGUCUGAUUAGGUAGUUGGCGGAGUAAAAGCCCACCAAGCCUGCGAUCAGUAGCUGGUCUGAGAGGAUGAUCAGCCACACUGGAACUGAGACACGGUCCAGACUCCUACGGGAGCAGCAGUAAGGAAUAUUGCUCAAUGGCCGAAAGGCUGAAGCAGCAACGCCGCGUGGA
This 379-nucleotide ribosomal RNA is filed under the name uncultured bacterium. Its description in RNAcentral is "bacterial SSU rRNA". It matches the Rfam family "Bacterial small subunit ribosomal RNA", at positions 28 to 405 of the family's 1533-position model. The record is from RNAcentral.